RNAcentral lists this ribosomal RNA (471 nucleotides) under uncultured bacterium. RNAcentral describes it as "bacterial SSU rRNA". It matches the Rfam family "Bacterial small subunit ribosomal RNA", at positions 28 to 496 of the family's 1533-position model. The record is from RNAcentral.
GAUGAACGCUGGCGGCGUGCCUAAUACAUGCAAGUCGAACGCUUCACAUAUGUGAAGAGUGGCGAACGGGUGAGUAAUACAUAAGUAACCUGGCCUUUACAGGGGGAUAACUAUUGGAAACGAUAGCUAAGACCGCAUAGGUGUGAUAACCGCAUGGAGAUGACAUGAAAUAUGCUACGGCAUAGGUAGAGGAUGGACUUAUGGCGCAUUAGCUAGUUGGAGGGGUAACGGCCCACCAAGGCGACGAUGCGUAGCCGACCUGAGAGGGUGACCGGCCACACUGGGACUGAGACACGGCCCAGACUCCUACGGGAGGCAGCAGUAGGGAAUUUUCGGCAAUGGGGGAAACCCUGACCGAGCAACGCCGCGUGAAGGAAGAAGUAAUUCGUUAUGUAAACUUCUGUCAUAGAGGAAGAACGGUGCGUGUAGGGAAUGACAUGCAAGUGACGGUACUCUAUAAGAAAGCCACGG